This 253-nucleotide ribosomal RNA is filed under the name uncultured bacterium. RNAcentral describes it as "partial 16S ribosomal RNA". It matches the Rfam family "Bacterial small subunit ribosomal RNA", at positions 524 to 776 of the family's 1533-position model. The record is from RNAcentral.
UACAGAGGGUGCAAGCGUUAAUCGGAAUUACUGGGCGUAAAGCGCACGUAGGCGGAUACUUAAGUCAGGGGUGAAAUCCCGGGGCUCAACCCCGGAACUGCCUUUGAUACUGGGUAUCUCGAGUCCGGAAGAGGUGAGUGGAAUUCCGAGUGUAGAGGUGAAAUUCGUAGAUAUUCGGAGGAACACCAGUGGCGAAGGCGGCUCACUGGUCCGGUACUGACGCUGAGGUGCGAAAGCGUGGGGAGCAAACAGG